UACGUAGGGCGCAAGCGUUGUCCGGAAUUAUUGGGCGUAAAGCGUGCGUAGACGGUUAUGUAAGUCAGAUGUGAAAGCCCCGGGCUUAACCUGGGAAUGGCAUUUGAGACUGCAUAGCUAGGGUGCGGAAGAGGGAAGCGGAAUUUCCGGUGUAGCGGUGAAAUGCGCAGAUAUCAGGAAGAACACCCGUGGCUAAGGCGGCUCUCUAGUACGGUACUGACGCUGAGACGCGAAAGCGUGGGGAGCGAACAGG
This 253-nucleotide ribosomal RNA is filed under the name uncultured bacterium. Its description in RNAcentral is "partial 16S ribosomal RNA". It matches the Rfam family "Bacterial small subunit ribosomal RNA", at positions 524 to 776 of the family's 1533-position model. The record is from RNAcentral.